ACGAACGCUGGCGGCGUGCCUAAUACAUGCCAGUAGAACGCUGAAGGAGGAGCUUGCUUCUCCGGAUGAGUUGCGAACGGGUGAGUAACGCGUAGGUAACCUGCCUGGUAGCGGGGGAUAACUAUUGGAAACGAUAGCUAAUACCGCAUAAGAGUAGAUGUCGCAUGACAUUUGCUUAAAAGGUGCAACUGCACCACUACCAGAUGGACCUGCGUUGUAUUAGCUAGUUGGUGAGGUAACGGCUCACCAAGGCAACGAUACAUAGCCGACCUGAGAGGGUGAUCGGCCACACUGGGACUGAGACACGGCCCAGACUCCUACGGGAGGCAGCAGUAGGGAAUCUUCGGCAAUGGACGGAAGUCUGACCGAGCAACGCCGCGUGAGUGAAGAAGGUUUUCGGAUCGUAAAGCUCUGUUGUAAGAGAAGGACGAGUGUGAGAGUGGAAAGUUCACACUGUGACGGUAUCUUACCAGAAAGAGACGGCUAACUACGUG
This 494-nucleotide ribosomal RNA is filed under the name uncultured bacterium. RNAcentral's name for it is "partial 16S ribosomal RNA". It matches the Rfam family "Bacterial small subunit ribosomal RNA", at positions 29 to 507 of the family's 1533-position model. The record is from RNAcentral.